UCUCAUCUCCUUCCACCUGAGAGUUGCUUGAGGCUGAGACAUUGCUCACUGUAAUCUAGUAACCGAACUCAUGCCUUAACUGACUCCUUUUUUACAGGACCCCUUCUUCAAGACCCUGCAUGGCUUACCGCAAGAACAGUUAGUUUCUGACCUCUUAUUAAGGGAAUUCCAAGAGGCUGUGGAAACACCUCUUACUUAGCUACUGCUGAUUGGAAAUCUGGUACCCCCACAAAGUGCUCUGAGGUGCUCAGCAGGGGAAAAAAAUCCCUCUAAAAUCAAGAUCAACAACGACAGGAACCACGUGACCGUUUUUCAGUUAGCAAAGCAUUCUUUACAGAUGCCUGUCUGGUUGUUCUUGGAUGGCUUCAGGGCACAGACACUGUAUUUAUCUUUUGGAAGUUCUCCACCAGGUCCAAUUGUUUGAUCCCAGGAACAGGUGAGGCACAUCAUGCCUUCUGAAGGGUUUGACAUUUUAUUUGCCUGUAAUGUGGCAUGCUCAGGAACAUAUCUGGGUGAAGACUCUGUUUUUCACUGAGUCUAGAACCUUACAGGACUGCAGCAUUCUAUGUUUCUAAUGUAAAUUUGGCAGCGGUACCUAGUGCAAUAUCUGGC
Long non-coding RNA from Bos indicus x Bos taurus (hybrid cattle), 612 nucleotides. NCBI's taxonomy places the organism in Eukaryota, Metazoa, Chordata, Mammalia, Artiodactyla, Bovidae. The record is from Ensembl.